This 670-nucleotide ribosomal RNA is filed under the name uncultured Ralstonia sp. RNAcentral describes it as "bacterial SSU rRNA". It matches the Rfam family "Bacterial small subunit ribosomal RNA", at positions 8 to 667 of the family's 1533-position model. The record is from RNAcentral. Lineage: Bacteria; Pseudomonadati; Pseudomonadota; Betaproteobacteria; Burkholderiales; Burkholderiaceae.
AGAGUUUGAUCCUGGCUCAGAUUGAACGCUGGCGGCAUGCCUUACACAUGCAAGUCGAACGGCAGCAUGAUCUAGCUUGCUAGAUUGAUGGCGAGUGGCGAACGGGUGAGUAAUACAUCGGAACGUGCCCUGUAGUGGGGGAUAACUAGUCGAAAGAUUAGCUAAUACCGCAUACGACCUGAGGGUGAAAGUGGGGGACCGCAAGGCCUCAUGCUAUAGGAGCGGCCGAUGUCUGAUUAGCUAGUUGGUGAGGUAAAGGCUCACCAAGGCGACGAUCAGUAGCUGGUCUGAGAGGACGAUCAGCCACACUGGGACUGAGACACGGCCCAGACUCCUACGGGAGGCAGCAGUGGGGAAUUUUGGACAAUGGGGGCAACCCUGAUCCAGCAAUGCCGCGUGUGUGAAGAAGGCCUUCGGGUUGUAAAGCACUUUUGUCCGGAAAGAAAUCGCACUUACUAAUAUUAGGUGUGGAUGACGGUACCGGAAGAAUAAGGACCGGCUAACUACGUGCCAGCAGCCGCGGUAAUACGUAGGGUCCAAGCGUUAAUCGGAAUUACUGGGCGUAAAGCGUGCGCAGGCGGUUGUGCAAGACCGAUGUGAAAUCCCCGGGCUUAACCUGGGAAUUGCAUUGGUGACUGCACGGCUAGAGUGUGUCAGAGGGGGGUAGAAU